This 8337-nucleotide long non-coding RNA is filed under the name Solanum lycopersicum (tomato). Its description in RNAcentral is "long non-coding RNA (SLYC_LNC000911)". The record is from RNAcentral. Lineage: Eukaryota; Viridiplantae; Streptophyta; Magnoliopsida; Solanales; Solanaceae.
UUUUGACUAUUCUUGGUUUAAUUAUAAAGUUAGUGGGUUAAUGUUAAUAAGUCUAAUUACUUGGGGGUUAAAAGAGGUAACCUUAAGUUAACUAGUGGGGCAUUAUUGCCAUCUUUUAUCCUUAAUUAUAUACUAAUUAGGGUAAAAGAAAGAGGGUUUGAAUAAAGAAAAUAGAAAGAACAAGAGAAAGAGAGAGAAAGUUGAACGAGAAAGAGGAGAGACGAAGAGGACACAAAGCUUUGGGAAUUUGCUUGCUUGAUUUCUAAUCUUCGGUGGAGGUAGGUUAUGGUUUUCAUGCUUUCAUAGUAAACUCUUAAUAGAGAAUGAUAUGUAUUGGUAGUAUUGUAAACCCUGCUAUGUGCUUAAUUGUAUGCAUGCAUGAACGUGAUUAUAUAAUUGUGAUUACAUUAAGCAUGAUGAAGUUACUGAAUCCCAAAUCUUGAUAAAAACCUAAUCUCUUUUUAAUGAUGAUGCCUUGGUAAGGGAGAAGGCUUGAUGAACUAAAGUAAUGAGAUUGAUGAUGCCUUGGUAAGAAAGAAGGCUUGAUGAAUUGAUGGAAGGAUAUUUAGGGGAUCGGGUGUCACGAACCGACACGUAGAAUUAGGGGAUCGGGUGUCACGAACCGACACGCAGAAUUAGGGGAUCGGGUGUCACGAACCGACACGUAGAAUUAGGGGAUCGGGUGUCACGAACCGACACGUAGAAUUAGGGGAUCGGGUGUCACGAACCGACACGUAGAUUUAGGAGAUUGGGUGUCACGAACUGACACGUAGAUUUGGGGGAUCGAGUGUCACGAAUCGACACGUAGAUUUAGGGGAUCGGAGUGUCACGUGCCAACACAAGAGGAUUAAUGAAUAUGAGGGAUCGGAGUGUCACGUGCCAACACAAGAGGAUUAAUGAAUAUGAGGGAUCGGAGUGUCACGUACCGACACAAGAGGAUUAAUGAAUAUGAGGGAGCAGAGUGUCACGUACCGACACAAGAGAAAUAAAGAUAAUGAAUCUUGAAAGAUGUUAAUAUACUCAAUCUAAUAAACAUAAUUCCCAAAUGAGUAUGGCAUUGAGGCUUGAGUCCUCGUGCGUGAACUUGACGGUAAUUGUUAAUGAUAUAGUACUUGUUGUUGCUACAUGUUGAGUAUCAUGGUUGAUUUUAUGAUAUUAUUGGUAUAUAUUGAUUUUCUAUUUUGAGUUGGCCGAUGAUAUCUACUCAGUACCCGUGUUUUGUACUGACCCCUACUUUUAUGUUCUCUUCUUGUUUAUUUGUGGAGUGCAGCAAACGUGCCAUCGUCCUCAACUCAACAGUAAUUCAAGCCAGUCUUACUACAUCGAAAAUUCAGGGUGAGCUAAUGCUUCUAGCUUGGACUGGAUCUUCUUCUUCAAGUCUCGAUGCCUUGAACUUCCGGCAUGGACUAGCUUCUUAUGUAUUUUUAGCUUUUAGAAUACUCAUAGUUUAGUCGUUUGAUCGUAGAUGUUCUUGUGAUGAUGACUUCCAGAUUUUGGGGAAUAAUAGAUGUUGAAUUUAGAAGUUAAUGAAUUGGUCUUUAUUUAAUGAGUUUAAGUCUUCCGCAUUACUUUCUGUUGAUAUUAUAUUGAAAUGUUAAGGUUAGAUUGGUUGGUUCACUCACAUAGAAGGGUAAGUGUGAGUGUCAGUCGCAACCCGGUUUGGGUCGUGACAAACUUGGUAUCAGAGCAUUAGGUUCGUUUGUCUCAUCACACAAGAACGAGUCUAGUAGAGUCUUAAGGAACGGUAGGGGGACGCCUUUACUUUUCUUUGAGAGGCUAUAAGACUUUAGGAAAAUUCCAUUCUUUCUUUCUUUGUUUCGUGCUAUUACUUGGAUCCAAUUGGUAUCUAGGUGAUACAAAUUGGUAUCUGACCAUCUUCACUCUAUUUCGCAGAUGGUUAGAACUAGAGCAACGACUACGCCAACACCAACACCAGCACCGGCGGGACAGGGUGCGUCUGAGCAAGCCACUGGGGCUGUAGCUCGAGGAAGAGCAACGGCAAGAGGCCGUGGUAGAGGUCGUGGGAGGACGUCCUCUAAGGGAAGAGGACGAGCACCUAGCCCAUCUGAUACUAGGGCAGUGACUCCUCCACCGACUGAGGAAGUAAUAAGAGAAGGGGAGGAUGAGGAAACUGAACAAGUGCAGAAUGAGGGAUUGCCACCCCAACCUACCCCAGAGAUGAUCAAUCAGGUUCUCGCCUAUCUCAGUGGGUUGUCUGAUCAAGGUCAGGCACCUCCAGUGUUUUCUGCGCCAACACCUCCGGUUUCAGAAGUACAACAUGCAGCCACUAUGGCUCCUCGUAUGGAUGCCUCAUUGGACAUAGGCACAUUUCCACGUCUGACUACUGGGCCUAUAAUGACAAAUGAUCAGCAUAAACUUUUCAGUAAGUUCUUGAAAUUGAAACCUCCGGUCUUUAAGGGUGCUGAAUCGGAGGAUGCUUAUGAUUUUCUGGUUGACUGUCACGAGCUACUACACAAGAUGGGUAUAGUAGAACGGUUUGGUGUGGAGUUUGUAACUUUUUCAGUUUCAAGGGAACGCCAACAUGUGGUGGCGGUCACAUAUUGAGUGUCAACCAACAGAGGCACCACCUAUGACUUGGGCCUUAUUCUCUAGCUUGUUUAUGGAGAAGUAUAUCCCCCGAACUUUGAGGGAUAGGAAAAGGGAUGAGUUCUUGAGCCUAGAGCAAGGUAGGAUGUCGGUCAAUGCAUAUGAGGCUAUGUUUCGUGCAUUAUCCCGGUAUGCCACCCAACUAUGUUUCAGUCCACAAGAGCGGAUUCGCCGUUUUGUGAAGGGGUUGAGGUCAGAGUUGCGGAUUUCAGCCUUACAGGUAGCGGCUACGGCAAAAUCCUUCCAAGAGGUGGUAGACUUCGUGAUAGAGGUGGAAGGAGAGAAGCCAGAUGACUUCACCACGACAUCGACAUCAAAAAGGUUUCGAAAGGGAGGAGAGUUUAAUGGUUCUUACUCUAGAGGACAAGGUUCCGGAGGUUACUCAGUUCGACCCAUUCAGUCUUCACUACAGACUGUAGUUGGGGGUCCACCUCAGAUCGGUCAACACUUCUCUGAGAGACAUAUGCUUGACUCCAGAGAGUGUUAUGGGUGUGGGGAGACUGGGCAUAUUAGGAGGAAUUGUCCAAAACAGAGUUAUAGACCCCCAAUGGCUCGAGGUAAUGGUGGUCACCAAAACGGCCGAGGUGAUGGGCAAACUGGAGCCACUACAUCACAACAUGGUAGGGGCAACGGAUAGACGAACGAUAGGGCCCAUUGUUACGCUUUUCUUGAGCGGUCUGAAGCGGAGGCAUCUGAUGCUGUCAUCACAGGUAAUCUUCUGGUUUGUGAUUGCAUGGCUUCUGUAUUGUUUGAUCCUGGAUCCACAUUUUCUUAUGUAUCUUCCUCAUUUGCUAAUGGUCUAAAUUUACAUUGUGAAUUACUUGAUAUGCCUAUUCGUGUUUCUACUCCGGUGGGUGAGUCUGUGGUAGUUGAAAAGAUGUAUAGGUUUUGUUUGGUGAACUUUGUGGGGAUCAACACUUAUGUAGAUUUGGUUAUCUUGGAAAUGGAUGAUUUUGAUGUAAUUCUGGGCAUGACUUGGCUUUCUCCAAAUUUUGCAAUCUUGGAUUGUAAUGCUAAAAUCGUGACGUUAGCCAAACCUGGGACAGAUCCGUUAGUUUGGGAGGGUGACUACACUUCCAAUCCGGUGCGUAUCAUCUCCUUUCUUCGUGCUAAGAAAAUGGAUAGUAAAGGGUGUUUAGCUUUCUUGGCACAUCUCAAGGAUGACACUACCCAAGUACCCUCGAUUGAGUCGGUUUCGGUGGUCCGUGAGUUUCUGGAUGUGUUCCCUGCAGAUCUUCCUGGUAUGCCACCAGAUAGGGAUAUUGAUUUUUGUAUUGACCUUUAACCGGGUACUCGCCCCAUUACUAUACCCCCUUAUAGAAUGGCUCCCGCGAAGUUAAGAGAGUUAAAAGCCCAACUGCAAGAGUUGUUAAACAAAGACUUUAUUAGACCAAGUGCAUCUCCUUGGGGUGCUCCGGUUUUGUUUGUAAAGAAGAAGGGUGGGAGUUUUCGAAUGUGUAUAGACUACAGACAACUAAACAAGGUAACCAUAAAGAACAAGUAUCCUCUUCCCCGCAUUGAUGACUUGUUCGAUCAGUUACAAGGUGCUUGUGUCUUCUCUAAGAUUGACUUGAGAUCCGGUUAUCAUCAAUUGAAAAUACGGGCAACGGAUGUGCCAAAGACUGCUUUUCGAACGAGGUAUGGGCAUUACGAAUUUGUAGUGAUGUCUUUUGGUCUUACGAAUGCCCCUGCUGCGUUCAUGAGCUUGAUGAACGGGAUUUUUAAGCCAUAUUUGGACCUCUUCGUGAUCGUAUUUAUUGAUGAUAUAUUGGUAUACUCAAAGAGCAAGAAGGAACAUGAAGAGCAUUUGAGAAUGGUAUUGGAAAUGUUGAGGGAGAAAAAGUUUUAUGCCAAGUUCUCUAAGUGUGAGUUUUGGCUAGAUGUUGUGUCCUUCUUGGGGCACGUGGUUUCUAAGGAUGGAGUGAUGGUGGAUCCUUCUAAGAUUGAGACAGCGAAGAAUUGGGUAAGACCUACUAAUGUGUGAGAAAUAAGGAGCUUUGUUGGGUUAGCUAGCUACUACCGUCGAUUUGUCAAGGGAUUCUCUUCUAUUGCUUCCUAAUUGACGAACUUGACUAAGCAGAAUGUUCCAUUUGUAUGGUCGGACGAAUGUGAGGAAAGCUUUCAGAAGCUCAAGACUUUCUUGACUACCGCACCUAUCCUUACCUUGCCAGUAGAGGGUAAGAACUUCAUUGUUUAUUGUGAUGCAUCCUAUUCUGGUUUGGGUGCAGUACUAAUGCAAGAGAAGAGUGUGAUUGCUUAUGCUUCAAGGCAACUAAAGGUGCAUGAACGUAACUAUACGACCCAUGAUUUUGAAUUGGCUGCGGUAGUGUUUGCAUUAAAGCAAUGGAGACACUAUUUAUAUGGGGUUAAGUGUGAGAUCUAUACGGAUCAUUGUAGCCUACAGUAUGUCUUUACUCAGAAAGAUUUGAACUUGAGACAGAGGAGAUGGAUGGAACUACUGAAGGACUACGACAUCACUAUUUUGUAUCAUCCGGGGAAGGCGAAUGUUGCAGCGGAUGCUUUAAGUAGAAAGGUGGGAAGCAUGGGAAGUCUAGCUCACUUGCAAGCUUCUAGACGCCCAUUGGCUAGAGAGGUUCAGACUCUAGCUAAUGACUUGAUGAGAUUAGAAGUAAAUGAGAAGGGAGGAUUGUUGGCUAGUGUGGAGUCAAGAUCUUCUUUUCUUGACAAAAUUAAGGGAAAACAGUUUGAUGAUGAGAAACUAAGGCGAAUCCGAGAUAAAGUAUUGUGAGGGGAGGCUAAUGAAGCACAAAUCGAUGAGGAAGGUGUUUUGAGAAUCAAGGGAAGGGUAUGUGUACCCCGCGUCGAUGAUUUGAUCAACACCUAUUUUGACAGAGGCUCAUAGUUCACGGUAUUCUAUACAUCCGGGUGCAACCAAGAUGUAUCGUGACCUAAAACAACACUUUUGGUGGAGUAGAAUGAAGCGUGAUAUUGUUGACUUUAUUGCCAAGUGUCCAAACUAUCAACAAGUAAAGUAUGAACACCAAAGGCCCGGGGGAACACUUCAGAGAAUGCCCAUUCCGGAAUGGAAGUGGGAGAGAAUUGCAAUGGACUUUGUGGUUGGUCUUCCAAGGACAAUAGGUAAGUAUGACUCCAUUUGGGUGAUUGUUGAUAGGUUAACUAAAUCUGCUCAUUUCAUUCCGGUAAAGGUGACUUACAAUGCAGAGAAGUUAGCCAAGAUCUAUAUCUCAGAAAUCGUUCGAUUGCAUGGGGUUCCACUAUCCAUCAUAUCAGAUAGAGGUACGCAGUUUACUUCUAAGUUUUGGAAAACACUGCAUGCGGAAUUGGGUACUAGGUUGGACCUUAGUACCGCGUCCCAUCCUCAGACCGAUGGUUAGUCUGAGCGAACGAUUCAAGUGUUGAAGGAUAUGCUUCGUGCGUUCGUGAUAAAAUUUGGUGGCCAUUGGGAUAGCUUCUUACCCUUAGCGGAAUUUUCAUACAAUAAUAGCUAUCACUCGAGCAUCGAUAUGGCUCCAUUUGAGGCACUAUAUGGGAGGAGAUGUAGGUCUCCCAUUGGUUGAUUUGAUGCAUUCGAGGUUAGACCUUGGGGUACUGACCUUUUGAGGGAUUCGAUAGAGAAAGUGAAGUCUAUUCAAGAAAAGCUUCUAGCGGCGCAAAGUAGACAAAAAGAAUAUGCAGAUCGAAAGGUUAGAGACUUAGAGUUCAUGGAAGGUGAACAAGUCUUGUUGAAGGUUUCGCCAAUGAAGGGGUGAUGCGAUUUGGUAAGCGAGGUAAACUUAGCCCAAGGUAUAUUGGUCCAUUUGAAGUACUUAAGCGAGUAGGGGAGGUGGCUUAUGAGUUACCUUGCCUCCAGGGCUGUCCGGAGUGCAUCCGGUAUUCCAUGUGUCUAUGUUGAAAAGAUAUCAUGGGGAUGGAAAUUACAUCAUCCGUUGGGAUUCAGUUUUGCUUGAUGAGAAUUUGUCUUAUGAGAAGGAGCCUGUUGCUAUUUUAGAUAGAGAAGUUCGCAAGUUGAGGUCAAGAGAGAUUGCAUCCAUCAAGGUGCAAUGGAAGAAUCGACCGGUUGAAGAAGCCACUUGGGAGAAGGAGGCAGAUAUGCGAGAAAAAUACCCAUAUCUGUUUACAGAUUCAGGUACUCCUUUUCGCCCUUGUUUUCCUUCUUGUGAUCGUUCGGGGAUGAACGAUGGGUAAAUUGGUAUCUAAUGUAACGACCUGUUUAGUCGUUUUGAGCAACAGAUUUUAUUUCUGGAAAAACAGGCUGAGACGACGGAACCCACGACGGAACGUCAUAGGCACGACGGACCGUCGAGGGUGUCUCGUCCCAAAAAACUUAGAAAUUCUAAAAUUUUGGUGCUGAAAUCGACUCUCUGAACUUUGUAACGAAAUGGCAGGACGGACCGUCACAGGUGUGACGGACCGUCACAGACCCUUGGUGGAAAUUUGGGUCUCUGAACUUUGCGACGACCUGCAGGAAGGACCGUCGCAGGCACGACGGCCCGUCACAGGUUGCGCAAUCCCAGUCCGGGUCGGAUUUCUUGAUACAUUUUAAGGGACGUUUUUGACUAUUCUUGGCUUAAUUAUAAAGUUAGUGGGUUAAUAUUAAUAAGUCUAAUUACUUGGGGGUUAAAAGAGGUAACCUUAAGUUAAUUAGUGGGGCAUUAUUGCCAUCUUUUAUCCUUAAUUAUAUACUAAUUAGGGUAAAAGAAAGAGGGUUUGAAUAAAUAAAAUAGAAAGAACAAGAGAAAGAGAGAGAAAGUUGAACGAGAAAGAGGAGAGACGAAGAGGACACAAAGCUUUGGGAAUUUGCUUGCUUGAUUUCUAAUCUUCGGUGGAGGUAGGUUAUGGUUUUCAUGCUUUCAUAGUAAACUCUUAAUAGAGAAUGAUAUGUAUUGGUAGUAUUGUAAACCCUGCUAUGUGCUUAAUUGUAUGCAUGCAUGAACGUGAUUAUAUAAUUGUGAUUAUAUUAAGCAUGAUGAAGUUACUGAAUCCCAAAUCUUGAUAAAAACCUAAUCUCUUUUUAAUGAUGAUGCCUUGGUAAGGGAGAAGGCUUGAUGAACUAAAGUAAUGAGAUUGAUGAUGCCUUGGUAAGAAGGAAGGCUUGAUGAAUUGAUGGAAGGAGAUUUAGGGGAUCGGGUGUCACGAACCGACACGUAGAAUUAGGGGAUCGGGUGUCACGAACCGACACCUAGAAUUAGGGGAUCGGGUGUCACGAACCGACACGUAGAAUUAGGGGAUCGGGUGUCACGAACCGACACGUAGAAUUAGGGGAUCGGGUGUCACGAACCGACACGUAGAUUUAGGGGAUCGGGUGUCACGAACCGACACGUAGAUUUAGGGGAUCGGAGUGUCACGUGCCGACACAAGAGGAUUAAUGAAUAUGAGGGAUCAGAGUGUCACGUACCGACAUAAGAGGAUUAAUGAAUAUGAGGGAGCGGAGUGUCACGUACCGACACAAGAGAAAUAAAGAUAAUGAAUCUUGAAAGAUGUUAAUAUACUCAAUCUAAUAAACAUAAUUCCCAAAUGAGUAUGGCAUUGAGGCUUGAGUCCUCGUGCGUGAACUUGACGGUAAUUGUUAAUGAUAUAGUACUUGUUGUUGCUACAUGUUGAGUAUCAUGGUUGAUUUUAUGAUAUUAUUGGUAUAUAUUGAUUUUCUAUUUUGAGUUGGCCGAUGAUAUCUACUCAGUACCCGUGUUUUGUACUGACCCCUACUUUUAUGUUCUCUUCUUGUUUAUUUGUGGAGUGCAGCAAACGUGC